GCUUACGGCCAUACCACCCUGAGAACGCCCGAUCUCGUCCGAUCUCGGAAGCUAAGCAGGGUCGGGCCUGGUUAGUACUUGGAUGGGAGACCGCCUGGGAAUACCAGGUGCCGUAAGCG
RNAcentral lists this ribosomal RNA (119 nucleotides) under Takifugu rubripes (torafugu). Lineage: Eukaryota; Metazoa; Chordata; Actinopteri; Tetraodontiformes; Tetraodontidae. The record is from RNAcentral.